UUGCCUCAGUAACGGCGAGUGAAGCGGCAACAGCUCAAAUUUGAAAUCUGGCCGUUCGGCGGUCCGAGUUGUAAUUUGUAGAGGAUGCUUCGGGUGCGGCGCCGGUCUAAGUUCCUUGGAACAGGACGUCAUAGAGGGUGAGAAUCCCGUAUGUGACCGGCGACCUGGCCCGUGUGAAGCUCCUUCAACGAGUCGAGUUGUUUGGGAAUGCAGCUCUAAGCGGGUGGUAAAUUUCAUCUAAAGCUAAAUACCGGCCAGAGACCGAUAGCGCACAAGUAGAGUGAUCGAAAGAUGAAAAGCACUUUGGAAAGAGAGUUAAAAAGUACGUGAAAUUGUUGAAAGGGAAGCGCUUGCGACCAGACUUGCUCACGGGCGAUCAGCCGUCCUUCUGGGCGGUGCACUCGCCGGUGAUCAGGCCAGCAUCGGUUCAGGCGGCCGGAUAAAGGCCCCGGGAACGUGGCUCCCCUCGGGGAGUGUUAUAGCCCGGGGUGCAAUGCGGCCCGCCGGGACCGAGGACCGCGCUUCGGCUAGGAUGCUGGCGUAAUGGUCGUAAGCGACCCGUCUUGAAACACGGACCAAGGAGUCUAACAUCUGUGCGAGUGUUUGGGUGUCAAACCCAUGCGCGGAAUGAAAGUGAACGGAGGUGGGAACCCUUCAGGGUGCACCAUCGACCGAUCCUGAUGUCUUCGGAUGGAUUUGAGUAAGAGCAUAGCUGUUGGGACCCGAAAGAUGGUGAACUAUGCCUGAAUAGGGUGAAGCCAGAGGAAACUCUGGUGGAGGCUCGCAGCGGUUCUGACGUGCAAAUCGAUCGUCAAAUUUGGGUAUAGGGGCGAAAGACUAAUCGAACCAUCUAGUA
RNAcentral lists this ribosomal RNA (856 nucleotides) under Umbilicaria antarctica. RNAcentral describes it as "eukaryotic LSU rRNA". It matches the Rfam family "Eukaryotic large subunit ribosomal RNA", at positions 75 to 949 of the family's 3401-position model. The record is from RNAcentral. Lineage: Eukaryota; Fungi; Ascomycota; Lecanoromycetes; Umbilicariales; Umbilicariaceae.